Molecule: ribosomal RNA, 617 nt
Filed under: uncultured bacterium
Lineage: Bacteria
Description: bacterial SSU rRNA
Rfam family: Bacterial small subunit ribosomal RNA
Source: RNAcentral
GCGCGCAGGCGGUCCUUUAAGUCUGAUGUGAAAGCCCACGGCUCAACCGUGGAGGGUCAUUGGAAACUGGGGGACUUGAGUGCAGAAGAGGAGAGCGGAAUUCCACGUGUAGCGGUGAAAUGCGUAGAGAUGUGGAGGAACACCAGUGGCGAAGGCGGCUCUCUGGUCUGUAACUGACGCUGAGGCGCGAAAGCGUGGGGAGCGAACAGGAUUAGAUACCCUGGUAGUCCACGCCGUAAACGAUGAGUGCUAAGUGUUAGAGGGUUUCCGCCCUUUAGUGCUGCAGCAAACGCAUUAAGCACUCCGCCUGGGGAGUACGGUCGCAAGACUGAAACUCAAAGGAAUUGACGGGGGCCCGCACAAGCGGUGGAGCAUGUGGUUUAAUUCGAAGCAACGCGAAGAACCUUACCAGGUCUUGACAUCCCGUGACAACUCUAGAGAUAGAGCGUUCCCCUUCGGGGGACACGGUGACAGGUGGUGCAUGGUUGUCGUCAGCUCGUGUCGUGAGAUGUUGGGUUAAGUCCCGCAACGAGCGCAACCCUUGAUCUUAGUUGCCAGCAUUCAGUUGGGCACUCUAAGGUGACUGCCGGUGACAAACCGGAGGAAGGUGGGGAUGA